GUUUCUCUGUUCACGGGAUUGAUUGGCAUUAGCGGCGAUGAAGGACGUGCAGGAGGACGAUAUGCGUUGUUGUUGUGACGGUGUCUGAAUUGUGUGCGGUGUGCACGGGGACCCCUUGGACUUAAGCAUAUCAGUAAAGGGAGGAGAAGAAACCAAAUGGGAUUGCCUGAGUAGCGGCGA
This 180-nucleotide ribosomal RNA is filed under the name Encephalitozoon cuniculi. Its description in RNAcentral is "partial large subunit ribosomal RNA". It matches the Rfam family "Archaeal large subunit ribosomal RNA", at positions 18 to 233 of the family's 2987-position model. Lineage: Eukaryota; Fungi; Microsporidia; Unikaryonidae. The record is from RNAcentral.